This 508-nucleotide ribosomal RNA is filed under the name uncultured bacterium. Its description in RNAcentral is "partial 16S ribosomal RNA". It matches the Rfam family "Bacterial small subunit ribosomal RNA", at positions 28 to 507 of the family's 1533-position model. The record is from RNAcentral.
GACGAACGCUGGCGGCGUGCCUAAUACAUGCAAGUCGAACGCUUCUUUCCUCCCGAGUGCUUGCACUCAAUUGGAAAGAGGAGUGGCGGACGGGUGAGUAACACGUGGGUAACCUACCCAUCAGAGGGGGAUAACACUUGGAAACAGGUGUUAAUACCGCAUAACAGUUUAUGCCGCAUGGCAUAAGAGUGAAAGGCGCUUUCGGGUGUCGCUGAUGGAUGGACCCGCGGUGCAUUAGCUAGUUGGUGAGGUAACGGCUCACCAAGGCCACGAUGCAUAGCCGACCUGAGAGGGUGAUCGGCCACACUGGGACUGAGUCACGGCCCAGACUCCUACGAGAGGCAGCAGUAGGGAAUCUUCGGCAAUGGACGAAAGUCUGACCGAGCAACGCCGCGUGAGUGAAGAAGGUUUUCGGAUCGUAAAACUCUGUUGUUAGAGAAGAACAAGGACGUUAGUAACUGAACGUCCCCUGACGGUAUCUAACCAGAAAGCCACGGCUAACUACGUG